CGGGACUGGCGGGGCUCGAACCCGCAGCUUC
RNAcentral lists this transfer RNA (31 nucleotides) under Streptocarpus primulifolius. RNAcentral's name for it is "partial tRNA-Asp". Lineage: Eukaryota; Viridiplantae; Streptophyta; Magnoliopsida; Lamiales; Gesneriaceae. The record is from RNAcentral.